AAAUCAGAAGAGAUAAAGUCUUCAACCUGCCCAAGACAGUAAAGUGAUACAUCUGACAGGGCAGGUGAAACAGUAGACUGCAGUGUCAGAAAAAGUAUGACAUGUCACAUCAAGCAGUCUACCUCAAGCUACUCGAGAUCUGCGAAAACAUUUGAAUAGCUUCCAAUGGCUACUUUCCAACGAAAGAAUUGGGAAGAUGUAUAAAUGUAGAAGAGUUUCAAAGAUCAAAGGCUGCUGGAGUUGUGAGUUUUGGAGAGAAGGUGGACUGAUCGAAUCAAGUGAUAGUGAGUCCAGAGGCUCACUCUACGAUCCACCAAGAACACUCAAAAGUCAGAUCAAGCAAGAAGUAGAAGUGUGAGUUCUACUAUGUAGAAGUGAGAGCUCUACUACAUGAAGAGUGUUCUGAACUGUCGAGAGAAAGAAGAGCAUCAUGCCAUCUGGAUGUCCAUCAUAGGAAGACUCUAAGUACAACAGAGAAAAGCUUAUGGUCAACUUAGCAAGUCCAUCAUAGGAAGGCAUCGAGUAGCAAGAAGGGAGAUCAUAAAAGCCAUCUUGGUGUCAAGCAUGAGAAAGCUUUUAAGUACCUUACAGAAGAGCUUACAGUCAUCUUAGAAGCCUCUUAUGUGCAGCCAUCAAGUACCAAGGAGAAUGAUCUUCAAGGCAGUUCAUCAAGGGGUCAUCCGGAGUAGUUGAGCAACCUAAGAAGCUGAGCAUCAUGCAACACUCAACUGCUCUUCAAGGAUGAUCAAGCCAAGCUGCUAGGGAUAGAAGAUGUUCAGAGCAUGAAGACAUCUUAGCAGCUCAGCACCGACUCCAACAACAACAAACAAACAACUCAACGAAGCCAGGGCCUGAGGGGUCCUUGUCCAGAGGGACUAAAUGAAGCAGGGCCAAAAGGGUCCUUGUCCGGAGGGACUAAACAAAGCAGGGCCAAAGGGUCCUUGUCCAAAGGGACUAAAUGAAGUUCCAAGCCUGCUGGGCUUGAAGAGUUCCUAGGGAACUAGAGGAGUCCCAAGGCUGCUGGCCUUGAAGAGUUCUUAGUGAACUGAAGUCCCAAGGCUGCUGGCCUUGAAGGAAUCGUAGAGAUUCAGGGUGCUGCCCUUCCUUAGUGGAAAUCCUGCUAGUUGAAAGCAGAAGAGUGGAUUAGGAGCUUGAGUCUCUGAACCACUUAAAACCCCUUGUGUCUUUUACAUUAUGUCAUUUACAUUAUGUACAUUAACUGCUAUAACUGCUAUGUAUGUUUUAACUGCUUACAACUAAACUAACCCAAUGAACAUUGUACGUAUAAUUAUGAAUAUAUCAAUGAAGGGGAAUCUUUUACUUAUUCCGCUGUGCUUGAAAAGAUUCUUAUGUUUGUCAUAUACUCAAAUAUGAACAAUACAACAUAAACCAGAAAAGUAUUUGAAAUAAAAAGGAUCUAUUCAACCCCCCCUUCUAGAUCUAUUGUGCCCUCUGGGAACUAACAAUUGGUAUCAGAGCAGGUUCUCAUGCUAUAUUCAAAAGCUAAUCGCUUUGAGUCUGAUCCCAGGCACUAACAUUGUUCUAAACUUAGUUUAGUAGUAAGUAACUUGUUAUAUGCAGAUGAGCUCACAUGUUGGAAAUAUUGUGUAUAGGUUAAAUGUGUAUAUACACCUGAAGCUGCUCAGAUUGGUCCAUGGUCUCUAUUGAUACAUCAACAAGACCAAUCCUAGCCUGCAGUCAAUCUUGUAGUCCUAAGACCAGACGAGAACACUCAAGAGACGUCAAUGACAAAGAGUCAAGCACCCACCAGUCUGAAAGAUGAAGAAGCCAUACAUGCUAAGAAAUGCUUAUCGAGAGAAGAAAGAAGAUCUUCUCAAACUUAUGUCUGGCCAACCAACAGCUGGGUGCAAACUCUGUCAGCUAAAGGAUGUCAAAGAUCUUAAUGCUGAGAUUCUCUUGGCCUAUAUCUUCAAGACCACUACUGAUUGAUUAAAGGCCAGCAAGAGCAAUAAGCUGUCAGGAGCAAAAGUAAAGCUAUGCUCAUCAAUACCUAAACUCAGUAUAUCUAAGGUAAAUGACUGUUUAGUAACUGACAGUAAAAAGGUACGGUUCCUCACUAUUAUAAAUGUAUACAUCAUAAUUGCAUCUUCUUAUGAACUAUAACAGUAUUCUGUCAAGGAGUCAUAAUCUGCCUAAAAAGGUGAAGAGAGAAAGUAACCUGAGGAUGGAAACUCAAAUGACUAUAAACUUUCUCUCCAUCCAAGUUUUAGGUUGAAGAUGACAUCUUGAAGGAAAUCUGAAAUGGGUCAUAAGAGCAUCACAGGCCUAAUGAACUUUAUGUGAAGUAAUCUUUGCUGAUGGGUUAGUAUGUAUGUACAAGCCUAUGUUCUAAGUGUUUGACAACACACAGAGCAUGAUCAGUUUUGCAAGAGGAUCUUGCUGAUUCGCAGAAACUGAUCACCUCAAUGAAUCAACUAGAUACUCCUAAAUCGUAGAGUUGAUUCUCACUCUGUGAACACUUAAACAUUGUGAACAUAACCCAGUAAAUGAUGAAACCAUCAUAGAUAGAGAGUGUGUUAUUAAAUGUCAAAUCACACACACUCACCAUCAUGCAUCUCAAAAUAUAUUAUCAUAAGAUAGUUGCAUGUAUGGAUAUGUCUGUUGAUGAUAAAUAUGAUGAUUAUCCAAAUAAGAGGAACAGGGGUUUAGAAAACUAACCUAGCAGGACCCAUUUAACUAUGGGUACCAAAAAUAGAAAUAUAUUUAAACCUGCAGGUAUUUGGACAGUCUGACCACACUAAGGAAUGAUGAAGCAGAAGACUUCAGUCAAGAAGAUACAACCAGCAGAAGGCUAAGGACUGUUCAGAAAUGAGUCUGAUAAAGUUCCUAUAUGUUCAAGCCUGUCCUUGAAGACCCUCUGAGCUAACCGGAAUGGAGCUCACAUGGCUGCACAUCUGUAUAUGAGAGCAUGCCAUGAAACAGAAGAUAAAGAGGAUUCUAUGUGCCCAUAUCAAGAAAGACAUGCUUUAUGGAAAGGAUCCUCAAGGGAAGCUCACAACAGAAGAUCAUUGAGCUUAAGACAAAAGGAGUUCUUUAUGAAGCAGAACUUCUCAAAACAAAGGACUGACAAAGAAGACUACGUUCGUAGUGCUGUCAAAUGAUCGUAGAGUGAUCAAUCCUGAAAAUACUCAUCUCUACGAUACAAGGAAAACUAAGCAACGAUGAUGAUUCCAGUCAGAAGGAGAAAUGCUGGGCAGCCUUCAAAUAAACAUGAAGAAGGAAUCACAUCUAUCUGAGAAGACAACAUCAACAAUGGGGGAGCAGUGAUCUGUUAAGGAACAACAACAACACUAUUAAACCUAGAAGAGAUGUACUAGCUACAGAGUCCCAAAACUUUGUGGCUGAUGAACCAUAUGAAGAUCCAUAGUCAGUAGGAACGUCUCAAAACGUACUACUGAUAACCCUUCAGCCACCCAAUCAAUAAUCGCGAAGUUCCUACGAUCAAACACAUGAUCGUAGUGUAAGAGCAGAAGGACACCACGAUUUCAGCAAUGCAGAUAUCCAGAGCUGGUAGAAAGACCUCCCCAUCAGAAAAGGUCUAAUGAGAUGUCAUUGAAAAUCACUGUCUUAGUAUUUCAUCUGGAAAGCGCCUUAGGGACAAACCUGACCCUUAGCUAACUCUAAGAGGUUGGCCCUUCCUGAGCUACCUUAUCCCAGAAGGAAUGCUUGAUCUAGUUCAUCUCAAAAGAACCAAGUCAGUCAACGAUUGUAGAGUUGAACUUGAAGAGGACUAAAUGAUUGUAGUACAAACUCAAUGAUCGUAAUGCUUUCUAAACGAUCGUAGUGCAACCUCAGCGACAGAAGAAGACAACUCAAAGAUCGUAGUCCUACCAAAGGGUAUUCCAUUUCAAGGAGCAUGAAGAAUGAGACAUCUGCUAAGCCAUUCAAGUUGAGGAGAUAAGUUCGAAUACAUCAGUGAUUGAGCUAUGCUGGAUCGAAGUAAGGAGGAAAGACGAAGCCAUCCACUGCAGAAUCUCUCAGAAAUUGAUCGUUGAGUAAACAAAUGAAAUCGUAGAGUUUAUAGCUAUCUCAUCAUGUUACUCUACGAAUCAAAAGGUCAACGGUCAAAGCCACGUCAAUUAAACGUCCACUCCUCUAAUAACUGAAAAGUUAUGGGGAGUUACAGCUCAUUACUGGGCAACGUGCAACCAAUGGACAGUUAACACAUCACUGAGUAUGCAGAGUUAGAAGGAACUACCAUAAAGACAAGUUCAAAUCUGCAGACAGUUACCAAAAGAUAUCGAACCUUUCUCCCUCCCAUUUUCAAAACCCUAGAAAGCUUUUCAAGAGCAAAAUCAGUUAACCUUCCAGAGUCUAACCAAAUCUUAGUCAGCCAUCUCGCAUAAUCUCUCUAAAUCAAACACCCACAGUCUUCGAACGAUGGAAAUGGAGAACUGGCAAGUUAUCACCAGCAUUCAGCUUGGAACCAAAUCGUUUGCAAAUUCUGAGAAGAAGUUCAGGGACGUCCUUAGACUCGUAAAGGAAGCUAGGUUUUCAGAAUGUCUCGAGGCGAGUACUCGUGUAUACAUUGACCUGGUUAAGGAGUUCUACUCAAACAUCUCCAUAAACUCUGGAACUCUAUCUACCAAGGUUAAAGGUCAGAUUCUGAAGCUGAAAUCUUCUGACCUUAAUCAAUGCCUAGGGUUCCCUAGCCAAGGGCUGAAGAACCUUGAAGAUGUGAACGUUGAGCAAGCGAAGGAGUUGAUGGGAUAUCAAAGAAACUCUAGCUUCAAAGAUAUGAAGAAGAAGGAGUUCCCUGAAGAGUAUGAGUUCCUAGCUGAAAUUGUAGGAAAGUGCAUUCUGUGCAAAAACACUGCACAUGAUACGGUGAUUGAUCAACAACUGAAGAUUAUGUCAGCUAUAGUGCUGAAGAAACAAAUUGACUUUGGAGCAAUUUUGUUUGAUCAUAUCUCUAAGUGGGUAGAGAAGGCUGAGAAGAAACCACUGACCAAAGUGUUUCAUGGAAGGCUGCUGAGUAUCAUACUGAAGAAAAAGCUAGGUGGAAAGAUCAAGGAUGAUGAGGGAGAAGCCCUGAAUGUGCACAAAGUAAUGUCUCCACAGUUAUUUGAAAACUGGAAGAAGAACCCCAAGGAGAACAAAAGGCUGACAGCUGGGAGCAGCAGUAGAGCCUCUGCAAAGAAGAGGAAGACAGUAAAGGCAGAGAGCUCUGAGUCCAGUGACUCUGAAGCAGCUGAAAUCACACCAGCCACGAAGAAAUCAAAAGUGGUGAAAAGAGCUAGUGAAGUGAAGAACCCACCAAGGAGAAUCUCCUCCUUGAACAAAGAUAAGGAAGAAGAAGCCCAAACUGCUGAGACCACAAAAAGAAGAAGCCGCAGGUUGCUUCAAGGGCCAGUCAGCAAGAAAGCUAAGUCCCCACAGUCAGCAUUCAGAAAUGAAAGUGAAGCUGAUGUGAUGGAAGAAAAGUGCUCAAGCUCCAUGGCUAAUUCUCAGAGAAACAACUCUGAUGAAGAUAAAGGAAUUCAGAAUGAUCAAAGUGCAUCCCAAAGUGCAACUGCCCCAACCUGCCCAGAGAAUGGGUCAGAAAAUACUAUUCUAGAAGAAGAAGAAGAACAUGUCCCCUCAAUCCAAGAAAGCUCUCAUGAUGGUUCAGAAAGUGAUGAGGCCAAGAAAGAAGAGUCUGCCGCUGCCAGUGCUGAUCUUCAAAGAAGUUUAUCUGAUGAGCAAAUGGAGUCAGAGACUGAAAAAGAAGAAGAGUUUGUCUCUCCAAUAGUUGAACCUCUACGAAGAAGGAAGAGCUACAGGCUGCAAGCCCAGUUUGCCUCCAAAAGGAACAGUAGCCAAUCAAAUGCCAUCAUUGAAUUAAGUGAUGAUGAAUCUGUAUCCCCAGGAGAAUAUGCUGAAGAAGAAGCCAGCAGUGAAGAAGAAGCAUCUAAGGAAAGUCUUGAUGAAGAAAGUUCAAAUAAUGAAAUUCAGCAAGAAGGAUUCUCUGUUGGAGAUGAUCAAGAAGAGUCUGAACAUGAAAUGUAACAUGAAGAUGAUCCCUCUGCUGAAACUGAUCUAAAUGGUUCUGGUUCUGAGAAGGAAAAAGCAGGAAAUGAUUCCAACUCUAAAGAUCAGGAAUCAGAAAACUCAGAACUCCACCCUGUUCUCUCACCUGCAAGAUUUAUCAGGAGAAUAGUAGUAGAAGUUCCCAAUGAACUAUCAGAGACUCCUCCUGACAGAUGGAUAAACCAUGGAGGUGAACAGAUCAGAAUAGUAAGAAUGACCUCCUUUGACUUGGUCAAGAACUAGAACAACAUGGAAAUGGACUGCACAACCAUUCUCUACAACCCUGAUGAUCUGCUAAUGAGAUGGUUCUUCUAGUGGAUGCCAUGGCUAAAGGCCAUUAUUGAAAAAGAUGGAAGCUACUUCAGUUGGUGUUAUAAGCAGUUUCCAAGCAUGGAACUGGUGGCUCAGAACUUUCCAAGAGUGAAGAAGUUUGCCACCAAGCUGAUCACAAACCAGCCCCACUUCAAGAUCUAUCGACAUGCUGGAAAUCUCUACAUCCCCUACGAUCGUAGGGUGGACUCUGAAGGAAGAAGAACCAUGUCCAAGAAGCUGAUCGUAGAGUCUGAUCACUCUACUACUUAUGAUGUUCAAAUCCAAUCUUAGAAGUCUCAUUAUGAUCAAGCACUGCUAACAGACACUCCAUCAUCCUCCACAUGCAAUUGGUACUCCAUAAUUGUUCAGAUUAUCCACACCUUUGAAAAUAUGUCCAAAGAUGACAAUCGUAGAGUCUAAUCCAUUGUCCAUACUGAAGCUACCAAUCAAGAGGAUCAAACUGCUUUGGAGCAGGAACUACUGAAGAGCUCUGAUGAUUUAAGCAAGAAGAUAUCUAUGCUCACUGAAGAAUCACAGAAGCAGACCGCAGUAGGAGAUGACUCUUUCCAGAACAAGCUUCAAGCUAUUUUGGCUGAUGUAUCUCUCAAACUCCAAGAGAGAGAUAACAUCUAUCAGAAGGCCAUCCAAGAUCAGAAGGCAGAAGCUCUACAAGUUCAGGAGGCCAAUGCAAAGUAGAUUGAAGCCCUCUCUGAUAAGAUUGACGAUCUAAAACAGUCCUUCUCUGUGCAACUUGAACUCGGACAGCAAGAGGUAAAGUUUGAAGUUGCAAAUUCCUCUUACCUGAUGGAGCAGCUUAUGUCCAACAUGGAGCAGCUCUCUCAAAUGAUUGAUGACAAAAAGGGGGAGAAAAAAAGUCAAAUAUAGAAGAAGAACAGAGGGUUAAGGGAGAAGAAGUCAAAGAAGAAGGUAGCAGCAGCAGAUAAAGAAUCAUCAUCUGAGGGGUGGCCUGAAGAUGAUGAUACCAAAAUCAUAGAAGCUGAAAGGAAACCAAAUCAGAAAGGUGAUGAAGGGGAGCCAAACAAAGAUAGAAGAUCAUCAUCUGAGGGGGAGCAAGAGCAAGAAGCAGAAUCAGAUGAGUAGCUGAUCAACAAGCAUCCUGGAAACAUACAUGGAGCCAAGGAGGUACAUCUCUAGUAUGUUAGUAUGUUCUGGAUCCAGGAUGUAGAAUUUAUGAAUAUAUAAUUGCCAUAUUAAUAUAAAUGACAUUCAUGAUUAACUAUUUAGAAAUACAGCUACUCACUGUAUCUAAGAUUCAUUCAUAACAUGCAUAUGCACUUAUUGUUUUUGUCAUAAUCAAAUAGGGGGAGAUUGUCAAGAAUAAACAUGUGAAUGAUAUUCCUAUUUAAUAUAUGAUUUAAUUAUGAUAUAUAUAUGAAUGAAUAUGAAAGUAUGCUUGCAUGAAGAAAAGCUGUAAAUUCCUUUGAUAGAUAAUAAAAAUAUAUGUACAAGGACUUAGAAUGAAUUGAUCAAAUAUGUUAGGUUGAUCCUACAUAAGCAAAACAGCUUUGGGAAGUCCUUAAAAAGAAAUGAUGUACAAGGACUAUAAAUAUAGAAAGAUCAAGCAUGUUAGGUUGAUCUUAUGUUGUAAUAGAUAGGCUUGUCUGAUCGUCGAGCACUGCACCAAAAGUCAUAGUCUGCCAGGAGAGUCACAGUUAACUCGGCAGCUAUCGAGGCAGAAUAGGAGUAUGCAAGAUAGUGAGAUCUCGGAGUUCGUAGACUUCCAGGAGAAACGAAGAAAGAUCAUAGUGUGUUGAGAAGAGCUUCCUCGGGAUCGUAGUGUGUUGAGGAAUUCAUGUUCAGAAUCGUAGAGACAACCUGUCUACAAGCCGAAUGACCAUCUGUCGAAGCCAAGUAUGAAACGUAGACUACACUCAGAGUCGUAGAGUUUAGCGAUGCCAAAGCUAAGACAAGGAUCGUAGGCUACACUCUGAGAUCGUAGAGUCCACUGAAUGAAUGCAGAGAUCGAAGUCGGGCAAGAUCAGAUGAAGACAACAAGCACAAGGCAGAAAUCAUAGAGUGUCAAGAUCUGAUCACGGGAUCGUAGUGUCUGCACAGCCGAAGCUGAAUCGUAGAGUGCAGAACUACGACUCCAGAAGAAGUGCUCACAAUGCUAAGUCAGGAUCGUAGAGCAGAUACGGUUCUCAACGAAUGAGCACUCCCAGAAUAUCCAAAGGUACGAAGCCUCUGGUUGGCACUGCAAAGAUGCAAUCCACAAUAAGGGAACCAGAGAGCACUCAAUGAAUGACAUGCAUGCUAGCAGGAGAACUAAGCAACAAUCCAAUCAGCAUCAAGAUUGAGUUGAAAGGCCAUUCGUGAUGAAGUCUUCCAUAAGAUGAUUCAAAGAAGACUUCAGCAGCUGACUAUGGAAAAGUCAGCUAAUGCAAUUGCUGACAAGAGAACAGAAGACAACGACCUUGGAAGUAACCAAGAUCGUAGUGUUUGCCAAACAAAGAAGGGACUGAUGGAAAGUGAACCGAGAUACUGGUCAGCCUCUGAAAAGCAAGGCUAAAGUGAUUAAGUGCCGUGUCAGAUCAUUGAUGAUAAGUGAACGGGAGAUCACAAGGAGAAAGUAAGCUGGACGCACCACAAAUCUGAAGUGUCUUAAUAUUCAGAAGGGGACCAGGACAAGGAAUCAGGCCAUCAGUAUCUGAGAACUGUCAAAGCAAACAGAAGUAUUGAAGCACUGCAUAAUACAAGGAAGGGGUGUUCUACAUUGAAGAUCCAAUCAACACUCUUCCAGAUCGUAGUGUUAACUCUACCAACCAACGAGCAACACUCAACAAGACACUACGAUCAGGUCCUUGAAGACAUGCAUCAGAAUCGUAGAGUUCGAAUACCUGAAGACUGAAGCAUUGGCAACGGUUCAAUCUGAAGAGUAAUAUUCGAACAAGUGCUUAUUGGGAGCAUCAAUGCAAAAGUACAACCUCUGAUCUAGAAAUCAGAAGAGAUAAAGUCUUCAACAUGCCCAAGACAGUAAAGUGAUACAUCUGACAGGGCAGGUGAAAUAGUAGACUGCAGUGUCAGAAAAAGUAUGACAUGUCACAUCAAGCAGUCUACCUCAAGCAACUCGAGAUCUGCGAAGACAUUUGAAUAGCUUCCAACGGCUACUUUCCAACAGAAGAAUUGGGAAGAUGUAUAAAUGUAGAAGAGUUUCAAAGAUCAAAGGCUGCUGGAG
Molecule: long non-coding RNA, 9538 nt
Filed under: Panax ginseng (ginseng)
Lineage: Eukaryota; Viridiplantae; Streptophyta; Magnoliopsida; Apiales; Araliaceae
Description: long non-coding RNA (PGIN_LNC000689)
Source: RNAcentral